CCCCACGCAGGCGCCACUUCCCCGUAGUGUGGGGUGGGCAACUGUCCAAAAGGGCAGGCUAAGAGCGCCA
Molecule: non-coding RNA, 70 nt
Filed under: unclassified sequences
Source: RNAcentral